Molecule: ribosomal RNA, 742 nt
Filed under: Oceanobacillus oncorhynchi
Lineage: Bacteria; Bacillati; Bacillota; Bacilli; Caryophanales; Bacillaceae
Description: bacterial SSU rRNA
Rfam family: Bacterial small subunit ribosomal RNA
Source: RNAcentral
CAGGACGAACGCUGGCGGCGUGCCUAAUACAUGCAAGUCGAGCGCGGGAAGCGAACGGAACUCUUCGGAGGGAAGUUCGUGGAACGAGCGGCGGACGGGUGAGUAACACGUAGGCAACCUGCCUGUAAGACUGGGAUAACUCGCGGAAACGCGAGCUAAUACCGGAUAACACUUUCUAUCACCUGAUGGAAAGUUGAAAGGCGGCUUUUGCUGUCACUUACAGAUGGGCCUGCGGCGCAUUAGCUAGUUGGUGAGGUAACGGCUCACCAAGGCGACGAUGCGUAGCCGACCUGAGAGGGUGAUCGGCCACACUGGGACUGAGACACGGCCCAGACUCCUACGGGAGGCAGCAGUAGGGAAUCUUCCGCAAUGGACGAAAGUCUGACGGAGCAACGCCGCGUGAGUGAUGAAGGUUUUCGGAUCGUAAAACUCUGUUGUCAGGGAAGAACAAGUACGAUAGUAACUGAUCGUACCUUGACGGUACCUGACCAGAAAGCCACGGCUAACUACGUGCCAGCAGCCGCGGUAAUACGUAGGUGGCAAGCGUUGUCCGGAAUUAUUGGGCGUAAAGCGCUCGCAGGCGGUUCUUUAAGUCUGAUGUGAAAUCUUGCGGCUCAACCGCAAACGUGCAUUGGAAACUGGAGGACUUGAGUGCAGAAGAGGAGAGUGGAAUUCCACGUGUAGCGGUGAAAUGCGUAGAGAUGUGGAGGAACACCAGUGGCGAAGGCGACUCUCUGGUCUG